Molecule: long non-coding RNA, 222 nt
Filed under: Elaeis guineensis (African oil palm)
Lineage: Eukaryota; Viridiplantae; Streptophyta; Magnoliopsida; Arecales; Arecaceae
Description: long non-coding RNA (EGUI_LNC016941)
Source: RNAcentral
CGUCCAACAAGAUGAGGACUGUGACGAGAUGAGGACUGUGCAUGCUCAUAGCCGAAGUCAGAACUCAGCAUGUUCAAGCAUUUUGCCAUCUGUAGUCAAGGUAUUAAAGGCCAGUCACUGUGGGGAUAGAAGUAAAUCUAAUGCCGAAGUCAGGAACAGCUGAUCUUAAGAAUUCCGCUCAGGAUGGUGGUCAGGAUCCAAGAAUCAUCAUAGGUCGAAGCU